This 333-nucleotide ribosomal RNA is filed under the name uncultured Bacillota bacterium. RNAcentral's name for it is "bacterial SSU rRNA". It matches the Rfam family "Bacterial small subunit ribosomal RNA", at positions 28 to 351 of the family's 1533-position model. Lineage: Bacteria; Bacillati; Bacillota. The record is from RNAcentral.
GAUGAACGCUAGCGGCGUGCCUAAUACAUGCAAGUCGAGCGGACUGAUUCGGGGCUUGCUCCGAUGAGGUCAGCGGCGGACGGGUGAGUAACACGUGGGUAACCUGCCUGAUCGUCUGGGAUAACGCUUGGAAACGAGUGCUAAUACCGGAUAAUCUCUUGGAUCGCAUGGUUCGAGAGUAAAAGGAGCUUUUGCUCCACGAUCAGAUGGACCCGCGGCGCAUUAGCUAGUUGGUGAGGUAACGGCUCACCAAGGCGACGAUGCGUAGCCGACCUGAGAGGGUGACCGGCCACACUGGGACUGAGACACGGCCCAGACACCUACGGGUGGCUG